Molecule: long non-coding RNA, 219 nt
Organism: Gavialis gangeticus (Gharial)
Lineage: Eukaryota; Metazoa; Chordata; Crocodylia; Gavialidae
Exons: 3
Source: RefSeq, a predicted model, not a curated record
UGAACCUAUUAUUCAGGGCAGGACCCCAUCUCUUAUGGUGUGAGGCCCUUGUCCGAAUCUGUCUCCAUUCUGAAUAAAGCUCUUGAAAGCAAUGCGUGCUGGUGUUUUAUCCCCGCUCUGCUCUGGCUAAUGAGUAACAGGAUCCACGGGUAAUUGGACCAUCGUCUCCCUAGUCGUUGGGUACUGCAUGGAGUCGGGAUCUAACAUUGUAAACUUUGA